RNAcentral lists this transfer RNA (85 nucleotides) under Actinomycetota bacterium. RNAcentral's name for it is "tRNA-Tyr". It matches the Rfam family "tRNA". From Rfam's summary of the family: Transfer RNA (tRNA) molecules are approximately 80 nucleotides in length. Their secondary structure includes four short double-helical elements and three loops (D, anti-codon, and T loops). Lineage: Bacteria; Bacillati; Actinomycetota. The record is from RNAcentral.
GGUGGGAUGCCCGAGUGGCCAAAGGGAGCGCGCUGUAAACGCGCCGGCUCAGCCUUCGAAGGUUCGAAUCCUUCUCCCACCACCA